Non-coding RNA from Dermacentor andersoni, 679 nucleotides. Lineage: Eukaryota; Metazoa; Arthropoda; Arachnida; Ixodida; Ixodidae. The record is from RefSeq and is a predicted model, not a curated record.
GGUAAUCCAUAUCAAAAACGUCUGCUAUACCAAGAAGCGGAUAAUACUUGUGGCGUUACGGAGUACUAUUACUACUGGACUACCAACAAUGCUACCGACUGCGCAGGCACCCGCUUUAUAUAACGCAAGAAGGCAGCUGCAAGGACACAAGGAUGCCAAAGAGCCAGCCCAGUGCGACUUCACGUAGUGCAAAGGAGCGCACGCCAAAGAAUCAAAAUACAUUGCCAUGCAAUUUGCACAAGAAAACUAUAAUGUGGGUAUAUUGGGUGUACCAUAUCACUAAAUGUCAACAAAAUCAAAAUACAGUAUUUGACACCAAGAUGAAAAUUCUCGUGUGCUCCAGGCAGUCAUCUUAACAUGGUAUACUUAUGUAAUGUCUCAGAUGGAAAAGUCAAAACCAAGCAUGCUCUCUGGAGACAAACACAUAGGAGCAAGUGACAUUGAAAAGUUAGAAGUUUGUUUAAAAAAAGGCGGUUAGUUGUGAGAAGUAACUGCUUUUUGUCUUUCCACUCACCAGAUAUAUCCAUGUGAUAAAGAAUAGUGGUACAAUAAAAUUGCAUAUUUGUUUAGUGACAUGAUACAUACUUGCAAUGAGUACGGUGCCUGUGUUCACUAUAAAAAGCAACAACUCAUGCUUGGUUAGGUGCUUACAUGCAUUUAGCAGCUUUACUUGCUUACA